UUAACUCAUAUUUGUAUGGAGUUGGAACGUUUGCCUACGUUUGCCGCUAGGGGCACUGUUCCAACUGCAUACAAAUUUGAGUUA
Bombyx mori (domestic silkworm) is the source of this 84-nucleotide non-coding RNA. The record is from Rfam. Lineage: Eukaryota; Metazoa; Arthropoda; Insecta; Lepidoptera; Bombycidae.